Molecule: long non-coding RNA, 1494 nt
Organism: Vespula vulgaris
Lineage: Eukaryota; Metazoa; Arthropoda; Insecta; Hymenoptera; Vespidae
Exons: 4
Source: RefSeq, a predicted model, not a curated record
UCUCGUCUUUCAAUAAAAAAAAUUCGUUUUUGUCUUUAAUUUUUUCAUUUCAAUAAUUGUAUGAUAGAACACGUAAAAGAAAUAAAAACAUAAAGCAAGAAAAGGAAAAUUAAAUGAUUCGUCGUUUCUAUUGGCUACGAAGGGCAAUUGUACGAUGACGAUAAAGUGAAAAAUUCAAUUACUCGAUAGAUAGAUCCAACAGGUCGAUCAUUUUAGUUUUGACGUCACCACCUUGUCUGUAUUCCAAGGCGAGACCUGUAAAAUAGAUUUAACUUAGAAAGACGCCUCAUGUGGACAUUCCAAUUACGUGCAGAACGAGCUUCUCAAGAUAAAGAGAGAGAGAGAGAGAGAAUGAGCAAGAAGGAGGGUGAGUCUAAUAGACAGGGAAGCUGGGUACGCGUAUUUAAUUAUAAAACAUAAUUGCGAGUCUUGAAAAUUAUUCGGGUGACUAGCCGACACUUCAGAGGAAGAUGCUUUUAUCCUUUAUCAUGAAGAAAGGUACCGUAGCGUGCACACAUCACUGAUCUUUCUACUCUUACUGACAUUACCCUUAUGCGUUCAUUAAACAAAAAAAAUAGAUAAUCACGAAAAAUUCGGCGUUACCAAGGUACGCUUGAUCGAUUACGCUAUUGUUGCAUGCGAGAAUUGUUUCAAAUUUUCCUUUGCGUUUUUAUAUCUAUUACUUUAAUCGAUAAUUACAUAUUUUAAUUCGUUAUGUCGCUUAUAUCCGUGUGAAAUAUUAAUGUAUAUUAAUUAAUUGUAAGACAUAUUAAUAAAUAAUUUAAAUAUGUAACAUCUCGAUAUCCUCGAUCGAUCGAUUCUCGAAACUGCCAUCUAGUGUGCAAAUAUAGGAAAUAUUUAAACUAACCUUAUGAUGAUAAUAGUUUUGCGCAUGCGCACUUUGGACUUUGUCAUAUAUCUUCGGCAUACGAUCGUUGUAUAUUCAUAAUAUUCAUAAUUAUUUAUAUUAGCCCAAGAUGAAAGUCAACGGGAAUUCAAAGCAUACCGAUCAUUUGGCAAGCACUCAGUGUAUGGACAGCUAAACCUAAUGAAGAAUUAUUUUUACUAUUCUAUAUAUUAUAAUAUAUACUAAGUAUUACAAUUUAUCAACAUGUUACCUAAAGCAUCUGGAUCAGCUAGACCAAUAUCUUCGCUCGAUAUUCUGAUUAAACGUCUAGCGAUAUCCACAGGAUCUUCUUUAGCAGCCAUUAUUCUAGCUAACCAAUAUAAAGACGCAUUUGGUUUGCCUGCACAAAUUGAUUUGUGCAAAGCAGAGUACAAAUGAUGCGUCUGUUCAUUUUUAUUGUCCACUUGCAUGUAUAUAUGUAUUAAACCUUGUUUGAUAUCUUCGAGACCUAUACUAACCAUUCCAAUGUGUCGCUAUGAAUUAUAAAUUUUGAGACAUUGUCAGAAUUCUGUAAAUUAUGGAUUCUACCGUCCAUACAAUGUAUGCUUUUCUUAAGUAUUUCAAUUAUAUCUUUGGUUGAUAAUUUA